GCUGUGAGCUCGAUGAGUAGGGCGGGACACGUGGUAUCCUGUCUGAAUAUGGGGGGACCAUCCUCCAAGGCUAAAUACUCCUGACUGACCGAUAGUGAACCAGUACCGUGAGGGAAAGGCGAAAAGAACCCCGGCGAGGGGAGUGAAAAAGAACCUGAAACCGUGUACGUACAAGCAGUGGGAGCACGCUUAGGCGUGUGACUGCGUACCUUUUGUAUAAUGGGUCAGCGACUUAUAUUCUGUAGCAAGGUUAACCGAAUAGGGGAGCCGAAGGGAAACCGAGUCUUAACUGGGCGUUAAGUUGCAGGGUAUAGACCCGAAACCCGGUGAUCUAGCCAUGGGCAGGUUGAAGGUUGGGUAACACUAACUGGAGGACCGAACCGACUAAUGUUGAAAAAUUAGCGGAUGACUUGUGGCUGGGGGUGAAAGGCCAAUCAAACCGGGAGAUAGCUGGUUCUCCCCGAAAGCUAUUUAGGUAGCGCCUCGUGAAUUCAUCUCCGGGGGUAGAGCACUGUUUCGGCAAGGGGGUCAUCCCGACUUACCAACCCGAUGCAAACUGCGAAUACCGGAGAAUGUUAUCACGGGAGACACACGGCGGGUGCUAACGUCCGUCGUGAAGAGGGAAACAACCCAGACCGCCAGCUAAGGUCCCAAAGUCAUGGUUAAGUGGGAAACGAUGUGGGAAGGCCCAGACAGCCAGGAUGUUGGCUUAGAAGCAGCCAUCAUUUAAAGAAAGCGUAAUAGCUCACUGGUCGAGUCGGCCUGCGCGGAAGAUGUAACGGGGCUAAACCAUG
Molecule: ribosomal RNA, 794 nt
Filed under: Escherichia coli
Lineage: Bacteria; Pseudomonadati; Pseudomonadota; Gammaproteobacteria; Enterobacterales; Enterobacteriaceae
Also listed under: 1 other name
Description: partial 23S ribosomal RNA
Rfam family: Bacterial large subunit ribosomal RNA
Source: RNAcentral